CUGGGGUAUUUUGAGCAUGGGGGUAGCAUGAUCCAGCCAUGCCGCGUGUGUGAUGAAGGCCUUCGGAUUGUAAACCCCUUUUAUUUGGGACGAAGGGCGGUGUCCUCCUUGGUUUCUGUCUUGACCUUACCCAGCCAAUAACCCCCGGCUACAACUGUGCCAGCAGCCGCGGUAAUCA
Molecule: ribosomal RNA, 178 nt
Filed under: uncultured bacterium
Lineage: Bacteria
Description: partial 16S ribosomal RNA
Rfam family: Bacterial small subunit ribosomal RNA
Source: RNAcentral